This 413-nucleotide unclassified non-coding RNA is filed under the name Hevea brasiliensis (rubber tree). Lineage: Eukaryota; Viridiplantae; Streptophyta; Magnoliopsida; Malpighiales; Euphorbiaceae. The record is from RNAcentral.
ACACAGUUGAUACUCUCAAACAACCAGCUUACUGGAACCAUCCCAGAAUUCAGGCCGUGGGUUUCUUUCAAUGCAAGUGGAAAUAUGGGUCUUGUAAAUGCUACGAAAACAAACAAUUCCCCAGAAUUCGUAAAGAAGAGGAAAUCAGUUGUUUUGGCAGUUAUUAUUGCUGUUGCAUCUGCUGCUCUUGCUGUUGGGGUGAUCAUAAUUAUUGCUGUAUCAUUCUCCAGACGAUUUCUCAAGGUUAAUGAUCUGCAGUCACAGUCAGGGGAAGACCGUCCACUCCCUCAGGUCAUCCAAGGCAAUCUGUUGACUUCAAAUGCAAUUCACAGGUCAAACAUUGACUUCACCAAAGCCAUGGAAGCAGUUGCUGAUCCACAGAACAUCGUCCUGAAGACUAGGUUUUGCACUUG